GACGAGCCACACAAACGUUAUUCGGAAUUACUGGGCUUAAAGGGUGCGUAGGCUGCGCGAAAAGUUGGGUGUGAAAUACCUCGGCUCAACCGAGGAACUGCGCCCAAAACUAUCGUGCUCGAGGAGGAUAGAGGUGAGCGGAACUUACGGUGGAGCGGUGAAAUGCGUUGAUAUCGUAAGGAACACCCGUGGCGAAAGCGGCUCACUGGGUCUUAUCUGACGCUGAUGCACGAAAGCUAGGGGAGCAAACGGG
This 253-nucleotide ribosomal RNA is filed under the name uncultured bacterium. Its description in RNAcentral is "partial 16S ribosomal RNA". It matches the Rfam family "Bacterial small subunit ribosomal RNA", at positions 524 to 776 of the family's 1533-position model. The record is from RNAcentral.